UACAGAGGGUGCGAGCGUUGUUCGGAAUUAUUGGGCGUAAAGGGCGCGUAGGCGGCGCCACAAGUCACUUGUGAAAACUCUGGGCUCAACUCAGAGCCUGCAAGCGAAACUGUGGUGCUGGAGUAUGGGAGAGGUGCGUGGAAUUCCCAGUGUAGCGGUGAAAUGCGUAGAUAUCUGGAGGAACACCGGUGGCGAAGGCGGCAUCCUGGACCAUGACUGACGCUGAGGAGCGAAAGCCAGGGGAGCAAACGGG
RNAcentral lists this ribosomal RNA (253 nucleotides) under uncultured bacterium. RNAcentral describes it as "partial 16S ribosomal RNA". It matches the Rfam family "Bacterial small subunit ribosomal RNA", at positions 524 to 776 of the family's 1533-position model. The record is from RNAcentral.